RNAcentral lists this ribosomal RNA (1079 nucleotides) under uncultured organism. RNAcentral describes it as "bacterial SSU rRNA". It matches the Rfam family "Bacterial small subunit ribosomal RNA", at positions 377 to 1460 of the family's 1533-position model. The record is from RNAcentral.
GAAAGCCUGACGCAGCACACCGCGUGUGGGAUGAAGCUUUUCGGAGUGUAAACCACUGUCAGUGGGGACGAAUAAAUGACGGUACCCCACAGAGGAAGCAUCGGCUAACUACGUGCCAGCAGCCGCGGUAAGACGUACGAUGCAAGCGUUGUCCGGAAUUAUUGGGCGUAAAGCGUUCGUAGGCGGCAUGCCAAGUCUGAUGUCAAAGCCCGGAGCUCAACUCCGGUUCGGCAUUGGAUACUGGCAAGCUAGAGUGCAGGAGAGGCAAGGGGAAUUCCUAGUGUAGCGGUGAAAUGCGUAGAUAUUAGGAGGAACACCAGUGGCGUAAGCGCCUUGCUGGACUGUAACUGACGCUGAGGGACGAAAGCCAGGGGAGCAAAUGGGAUUAGAUACCCCAGUAGUCCUGGCCGUAAACGAUGGAUACUAGGUGUCGCGGGUAUCGACCCCUGCGGUGCUGCAGCUAACGCAAUAAGUAUCCCGCCUGGGGAGUACGCACGCAAGUGUGAAACUCAAAGGAAUUGACGGGGACCCGCACAAGCGGUGGAACAUGUGGUUUAAUUCGAAGCAACGCGAAGAACCUUACCAGGGCUUGACAUCCCGAGAACUUUCCAGAGAUGGAUUGGUGCCCUUCGGGGAACUCGGUGGCAGGUGGUGCACGGUUGUCGUCAGCUCGUGUCGUGAGAUGUUGGGUUAAGUCCCGCAACGAGCGCAACCCUCGUUGUUAGUUGCCAGUAAGAGCCUGCUCUUGCUGUGCUCUCUAGCGAGACUGCCGGUGAUAAACCGGAGGAAGGUGGGGACGACGUCAAAUCAUCAUGCCCCUUAUGUCCUGGGCUACACACGUGUUACAAUGGGUAGGACAGCGAGCAGCCAACCAGCAAUGGUGAGCAAAUCUCUUAAACCUACUCUCAGUUCGGAUCGCAGUCUGCAACUCGACUGCGUGAAGUCGGAAUCGCUAGUAACCGUAGAUCAGCACGCUGCGGUGAAUACGUUCCCGGGUCUUGUACACACUGCCCGUCACACCAUGGAAGCUGACCACGCCCGAAGUCGGUGAGCUAACUCUUUGAGGAGCAGCCGCCUAA